GACGAGCCACCCGAACGUUAUUCGGAAUUACUGGGCUUAAAGGGUGCGUAGGCGGUGUAGCAAGUCGGGAGUGAAAUACCCCAGCUUAACUGAGGAAUUGCUUUCGAUACUGCUGCGCUUGAGUGAGACAGAGGUAAGCGGAACUUAGGGUGGAGCGGUGAAAUGCGUUGAUAUCCUAAGGAACACCGGUGGCGAAGGCGGCUUACUGGGUCUCAACUGACGCUGAGGCACGAAAGCUUGGGUAGCAAACGGG
This 253-nucleotide ribosomal RNA is filed under the name uncultured bacterium. RNAcentral describes it as "partial 16S ribosomal RNA". It matches the Rfam family "Bacterial small subunit ribosomal RNA", at positions 524 to 776 of the family's 1533-position model. The record is from RNAcentral.